UACGUACUGGGCGAACGUUAUUCGGAAUCACUGGGCUUAAAGGGUGCGUAGGCGGCUUUCCAGGUCCGGUGUGAAAUCUUACGGCUCAACCGUAAAAUUGCGCUGGAAACCGGAAGGCUUGAGUGUGCUAGGGGUGUGUGGAACUUCCAGUGGAGCGGUGAAAUGUGUUGAUAUUGGAAGGAACGCCGGUGGCGAAAGCGACACACUGGGGCACAACUGACGCUGAGGCACGAAAGCUAGGGUAGCGAACGGG
Molecule: ribosomal RNA, 253 nt
Filed under: uncultured bacterium
Lineage: Bacteria
Description: partial 16S ribosomal RNA
Rfam family: Bacterial small subunit ribosomal RNA
Source: RNAcentral